Molecule: non-coding RNA, 94 nt
Organism: Rhizobium freirei PRF 81
Lineage: Bacteria; Pseudomonadati; Pseudomonadota; Alphaproteobacteria; Hyphomicrobiales; Rhizobiaceae
Source: Rfam
GUCGACGCCAAAAAGAGUCGACUACGUCAGGGGCGCCGAGCUUCUUGGCGUUCCUCGUAUCUAUGUUGCUCCGUGGAGGAUGUAGCUAUGAGAA